GAUGAACGCUGGCGGCGUGCCUAAUACAUGCAAGUCGAGCGAACAGACGAGGAGCUUGCUCCUCUGACGUUAGCGGCGGACGGGUGAGUAACACGUGGAUAACCUACCUAUAAGACUGGGAUAACUUCGGGAAACCGGAGCUAAUACCGGAUAAUAUAUUGAACCGCAUGGUUCAAUAGUGAAAGACGGUUUUGCUGUCACUUAUAGAUGGAUCCGCGCCGCUUUAGCUAGUUGGUAAGGUAACGGCUUACCAAGGCGACGAUGCGUAGCCGACCUGAGAGGGGGAUCGGCCACACGGGAACGGAGACACGGUCAAGACUCCUAGGGGAGGCGGCAGUAGGGAAUCUUCGGCAAUGGGCGAAAGCCUAACGGAGCAACGCCGCGUGGGUGAUGAAGGUCUUCGGAUCGUAAGACUCUGUUAUUGGGGAAGAACAAAUGGGUAAGGGACUAUGCACGUCUUGACGGUACCUAAUCAGAAAGCCACGGCUAACUACGUG
This 497-nucleotide ribosomal RNA is filed under the name uncultured bacterium. Its description in RNAcentral is "partial 16S ribosomal RNA". It matches the Rfam family "Bacterial small subunit ribosomal RNA", at positions 28 to 507 of the family's 1533-position model. The record is from RNAcentral.